GGCCGGCUGGCGCAAUGGUAGCGCGUCAGACUUCUAUCCUCACUGGAGGAGUAGCAAUCUGAAGGCUGCGGGUUCGAGCCCCGCGUUGGUCA
Molecule: transfer RNA, 92 nt
Filed under: Colletotrichum orbiculare MAFF 240422
Lineage: Eukaryota; Fungi; Ascomycota; Sordariomycetes; Glomerellales; Glomerellaceae
Description: tRNA-Arg for anticodon UCU
Rfam family: tRNA
About the family: Transfer RNA (tRNA) molecules are approximately 80 nucleotides in length. Their secondary structure includes four short double-helical elements and three loops (D, anti-codon, and T loops).
Source: Rfam by way of RNAcentral